Molecule: ribosomal RNA, 376 nt
Filed under: Hysterangium aggregatum
Lineage: Eukaryota; Fungi; Basidiomycota; Agaricomycetes; Hysterangiales; Hysterangiaceae
Description: SSU rRNA
Rfam family: Bacterial small subunit ribosomal RNA
Source: RNAcentral
GGUGCCAGAAGACUCGGUAAGGCCAGAGACGCAAGCGUUAAUCAUCUUGAUCAGGCGUAAAGGGUUUGUAGGCAGCUUUAAAAUAAUUAAAGAUUGAAUCAAAUAGAAGUCAAGAGAAUUCCUAGAGUAGGGUUGACAUCUGUAAAGCCUAGGAAGAAUACUAAUUAGCGAAGGCACUUUUCUAUCUAAUGAUUGACGCUGAGAAACGAAGGGGAGGAUCGACAAUAGGAUUAGAUACCCUGGCAUCCCUCUCUGUAAACGAUGAAUGGUAGUUGCUAGUUAUAAUAAUUAGUGGCGAUGCUAACGCGUUAACCAUUCCGCCUUGUGAGUACGACUGCAAAGUUGAAAACAAAAAAAUUAGUCGGUUUCGGAGCAA